This 2754-nucleotide long non-coding RNA is filed under the name Triticum aestivum (bread wheat). Its description in RNAcentral is "long non-coding RNA (TAES_LNC022301)". The record is from RNAcentral. Lineage: Eukaryota; Viridiplantae; Streptophyta; Magnoliopsida; Poales; Poaceae.
CCCGUGCAUAUGGCGUGUGCGGCGGCCGCUCCUUCUGCCGACCGCAUGGCGAUGGAAGCUUACGGGCUGGAAUUCCUCCUAGAUCCAGUAGAGUAGACUGGUGAGUUCCCCUAAGCCAGCACUGCUCCCUUAUCUGUUGGAUUCUAAUUUCUCUACAAACUUGUUCCCCUGCGAUCCACGGAAUCCAUCCCCUGCCCCCGCCGCCGGUGACUCAUUUCCUACCUGGCAGGUUUCCACUUAGGGAGGGGUCUGCGGACAGUUUGGAACACCCAAAUCCGGUGCCUUUAGCGCUGCUGCCGCGCCCCGAGGUCGAACUCCGGGCCUGGCUGUGGGGGACUGCAACCAUGGGAUAUCCGGAUGUGAGGUUCGGUGAAGGAAGAAUGCUUCACCGACACGGUCUGCACAGUCCACUGGGAAGGUGAAUCCGGAAGUAGGGUGGACGAAGAGGUAAUGCAGGCACAGUUCUUCUCAGUUCAAUGUGGCAAUCAUUUUUGCUAGGGAACUAAAGAUGCUCACAAGGCAGUGACGCAUUUGAUGUUCAGCACUGAUCCAGUGUGUUGGCGUACUGUGCUAAAUGUUUUAGAUUAGGUGAUUUCUGUAGAAUUGGAUUGCUCACGCACUGUUCGAAUUAAACCAUACGUGUGUUCAAAUUCAGGUUGAGGCUGGAAAGUGCACCGCCUGAUAGGACCCCGUAUGCGUCAUGGAUGAACGCCCUGAAACAAUCUAACCGACAAUUUUGUAGAAGAGCCUACUAAUGCUGGUGAAACCAGAUCAUGGUCUAUGUUUUGACUCAUUCGCUGAGGUUUAUGCCUUUUACAAGUUGUAUUCGUGGGAGGUUGGCUUUGGGGGUAUAGCAAGAGUAGACUGAAUGCUGAGGCAACCAAAUCAUUGCAGGAGAUCGUGUGUGACUGUUCAGUGAGACAUAAUGUUUUGUUGCUAAUUUUGGUUUUGACAAACAGUGUCCUUAGCAGAGGGAGUACCAUUGGUUACUUAUUUUGUGUUCUCAGUUACUCUUGUGCACACAAGUUCUGCAUCUUUCAGUUCUAAUUUUUAAGAACUGAGAAGAUUAUACCUCAGGUUCUUCAUGGCCGCUGAGAUUUUGAAAUCUUGGUUUUUAUUCUUGCUCUUCCGUUUCUUUGCUAAUCCGGCGCGUAUGCCUCUGUAAAUGCAAUUUGGGUUGCGAAUUGUCAACCCACCUGUCCUGAAACAAUUGAUGUUGUGGCUCGCGCGCCAGCUGUUCGACGCAAUUCUACUGUAGAAUUCAGUACCAUUUGGAGUUGUGCAGUUGAGUUUGGAUCAUCCCAAAGGCAAAUCAUGAGUUUCCAUUUCCUUUGUUACUAGUAGCGCUUACUGUUAGGCAUGGCAUUGACAGGCCUUAGUGUUAGCAAAUUCAUUGUUAACUUCUUGCAUGAUAGUUCCUUUUCCCAUAUCUGUUAAUUGGGGAUAAUGUACACUAUAUUAGCCAGUGCUGCUUAUCAAGGAAGCUGGGCUGGAUGUCUUCUCCAAACUCCCAUGUUGAUCACUUCCAGCCCACACUUGAAAAUGUAUUACUCACAAGUCACUUUGCCGACAUAUUUGUGGUUCAUUUUAUCUCCAGGAAUUAACUAAUGAUCAAUUGUUUUGUUGUUAUUCAGGAAGCAUGUCUUAAGUGAAAAUAGGCAUGGACAAGCUCCAUAUAUUUUAGUUUGACAAAACAACUUAGACGGAAAUACUAAAAUAAUAGCUUUUGAGGCAUCGCAACCAUUCAUUCAGCUUCUCAGUUAUUUGAAUGAGCUUUGGUGACCUUACCAGUGCAGACCUUCUAGCCAGAUUUGGGAUCGUAUGUGUGCUGCUGAUUUUCUUUAUUUCACUAUAAAAGUUGAAGCUUUUACUCUCCAUGUAUAACCAUUGUGACUUUGAUGUUAUAUGUAUGCACUGUAGAGUAUUGUAGAAGGAGAACUUUAAAGAAAGCUUUUAUAACAUGUUGCAGGAACAUCGCCUUGUGCAUUGCAAGAAGCUUGACCAUUGUAUUUUUGAUGAUGUUGGUAAGCUAUUAGUACUAAGAAAGAAAGGGAUUGAAGCGGUGAUAUUAUAUUUAGAAUGCGUAUACUUGCAAUUAAUGGAGCUAGUUCGGAUUGGAACGCCUCAGUGCCAUCUUAUGAUCUCGUGUUGGGUCGAAAGAAGGAUAUAAUAACGGAGGCAACACCGGUAGGUGAAACUGCAGAAUCAGCUCAUAAGAAAAUUACAGAGUCAGCCGCAGUGAGGCGGAUAUGAUGGAUAACGAGAACAACGUCACACUGUUGGGCAAUUGGCAUGCGCUAGCUGAUCUUGCAGCGCCAAUCAAGAUAAGGGGUGCUGGAAGACCAACAAUGAGUAGGGAGAAGGCGUCCUGUGAGGGUUUGAGUAAGCGGAAAAGGUUCUGCAGUAUCUGUAAACGCCCGGGGCACAAGCAGACUACAUGCCCAGAAAGUGAGGGGACUUGCCGAAGCAGCCUCGCAAGCCAGCAAGAUUCAAGUUGCAUUUUAGGAAAAUUAAGCUUGCAUGAAUAAAUUUGAGGAUUUUCUAGUGUACAAUUCGUACUGGAAAAAACGCACACUAAUAUUUUCAUAAGGAACUGUACUGUUUUUAUGAACUGAAUGUCAUUGUUUGUCUGUUUGGCAUGCGUGUUUGUAACAUUAUUCACGCUGUGUAUCCUAUAUGUUUGUUGUAUCCCUCACGAUGUGGUCUACUUUGUGCCCAUGGUGGUUCUUAGAUGAGCACAUAGUCAGUUAUUCG